GCGUGAUCAUACUCGGAGGAGUUUCUCUGGUGUUCCUGCGGAUUAUUCCUGUUGCUUCGGAGGAGCCCGCAAGGGUGCCCGCCGGUCUCAUCAGAAUCUCUGUUUUCGAACCCGACGAUACUUCUGAGUGUUCUUAGCGAACUGUCAAAACUUUUAACAACGGAUCUCUUGGCUCCAGCAUCGAUGAAGAACGCAGCGAAACGCGAUAUGUAAUGUGAAUUGCAGAAUUCAGUGAAUCAUCGAAUCUUUGAACGCACAUGGCGCCUUCCAGUAUCCUGGGAGGCAUGCCUGUCCGAGCGUCGUUUCAACCCUCGAGCCCCUGUGGCCCGGCGUUGGGGAUCUGCCACGGCAGGCCCCUAAAACCAGUGGCGGACCCGAAGGGCCCUCUCCUUUGCGCAGUAGCAUUCGCCUCGCAUUGGGAGUCCUCGGCGUCCUGCCUCUAAACCCCCCACAAGUCCGCUUCGGCGGCACCAAGGUUGACCUCGGAUCAGGUAGGAAUACCCGCUGAACUUAAGCAUAUCAUAAGCGGAGGAAGGUGACCCUUCGAAAUCUCUCCCUUGGUAACAUAAUCCGUUGCUUCGCGCCCGAAGGGCCCCCCCAACAAUCGUAGCAACAACUUGAUUUUUGGAAGGCCACUUUAGAGAUUGGCCUAAAAAAACACAUAUAAUUGGGAAUUAAUUGAAAUCAUUUUAACAGGCCCCUCGGG
Molecule: ribosomal RNA, 706 nt
Filed under: Plectosphaerella sp. C21
Lineage: Eukaryota; Fungi; Ascomycota; Sordariomycetes; Glomerellales; Plectosphaerellaceae
Description: eukaryotic LSU rRNA
Rfam family: 5.8S ribosomal RNA (bases 149-302)
Source: RNAcentral